GUAUGUUGUACAAUGUAAUAAAAUAUUUAUUUAUUUCUUAUGCAUACUCAAGAAUUCAGCACUUAUUUUGAUUAUUUAAAUAGUUGCAGUGGACUGUGCCUGAGACGUUUCCCCACAUCGCCGGCUAUGUAGACAGCUUGUGAAAAUGAUAUUGUGCCAGAAAAGUUUGAAGUAGCUAUGGGAAUGAUCAACAUUCAACUUGCUGAGCCUUCCUUCUGAAAGUGACUUGACCAGAUAUUUGGCUACCCAGUAUGAGUAUCUUUCUGCUACAUUAAAUAAAAUAUUGUGGAGGAACACAAAGAAAAGGGCUGUGCAUCUCAACAUUUUCAAGGUCAAGCAGCUUUUUACCAUAUCCAUAGUAUCUUGCUGCUAAAUGAAAGAAUUAUUGUGGAAGAGCAGAGAAAAGAACACUUCAACAUGUUCAAGGUCAAGCAGAAAUUAGGAGCUAGAUGUGCUUUUCCAGAGCUGAAAACUUCUUGGCAUGAAGAG
This is a long non-coding RNA of Saccostrea cuccullata (small rock oyster), 489 nucleotides long. RefSeq lists it as uncharacterized. Lineage: Eukaryota; Metazoa; Mollusca; Bivalvia; Ostreida; Ostreidae. The transcript is spliced from 5 exons. The record is from RefSeq and is a predicted model, not a curated record.